RNAcentral lists this small RNA (414 nucleotides) under Vigna angularis var. angularis. RNAcentral's name for it is "Non-protein coding transcript". The record is from RNAcentral. Lineage: Eukaryota; Viridiplantae; Streptophyta; Magnoliopsida; Fabales; Fabaceae.
GAGAGAUAUCUAAAAUUGGAGUGUUGCCGGAGAAGUUGAGAAACUAAGGAAGAAGGAGACUUAGAUCAACAAAGUAAGGGCUGAAAAUCUUAAGGAACCAACCAACCUUUGCUGGAGAAAGAGAUGAUGUUCCAGGUGAAGCUGAAGAAGUUUAGAACGAGGAGCGUGUUGGGAAAUUUACAUGGAAAUUUUAAAGUGCGAAAAUAAAUUGUUGUGAAGUAUUGUACUUUAAGCAGACUUUUAAUUUGUUAUGGUUUGUAAUUUUAAAACAUCUUUUAAUAUUCGGUUUGUAAUCUAAUAAUUACUCGCUAAUACUUCGAUGUAUUUUUCAGUAAUAAUAUUAAAUGUUGUGCCUUUAAAAGUAAACAAUUAUUUUGAAAAAAUUUCUGUGACAUUCCGAGAAGGGGUGUUACA